Molecule: transfer RNA, 68 nt
Filed under: Psammoperca waigiensis
Lineage: Eukaryota; Metazoa; Chordata; Actinopteri; Centropomidae
Description: tRNA-Asp
Rfam family: tRNA
About the family: Transfer RNA (tRNA) molecules are approximately 80 nucleotides in length. Their secondary structure includes four short double-helical elements and three loops (D, anti-codon, and T loops).
Source: RNAcentral
GAGACACUAGUAAAAGAUUACAUUGCCUUGUCAAGGCAAAAUUGCAGGUUAAACCCCUGCGUGUCUUA